CGUAGGGACCAAGCGUUGUUCGGAUUUACUGGGCGUAAAGGGCGCGUAGGCGGCAAUUCAAGUCAGCUGUGAAAUCUCCGAGCUUAACUCGGAACGGUCAGCUGAUACUGUUUUGCUAGAGUGCAGAAAGGGCAACCGGAAUUCUUGGUGUAGCGGUGAAAUGCGUAGAUAUCAAGAGGAACACCUGAGGCGAAGGCGGGUUGCUAGGCUGACACUGACGCUGAGGCGCGAAAGCUAGGGUAGCAAACGGGAUUAGAUACCCCGGUAGUCCUAGCCCUAAACGAUGUAUGCUUGGUGUCUGGAGUUUUUAUCUCUGGGUGCCGUCGCUAACGCUUUUAGCAUACCGCCUGGGGAUACGCUCGCAAGAGUG
This 370-nucleotide ribosomal RNA is filed under the name uncultured organism. RNAcentral's name for it is "bacterial SSU rRNA". It matches the Rfam family "Bacterial small subunit ribosomal RNA", at positions 526 to 896 of the family's 1533-position model. The record is from RNAcentral.